Acanthosepion pharaonis is the source of this 95-nucleotide non-coding RNA. NCBI's taxonomy places the organism in Eukaryota, Metazoa, Mollusca, Cephalopoda, Sepiida, Sepiidae. The record is from the annotation of a GenBank genome assembly.
AAUCAUCGGUUCGCGUACGAUCACCGAAGUUAAACAACGCCGGGCCUGGUCAGUACCUAGAUGGGUAACCGCAUGGGAGUAUCACGUGCUGUAAG